GUUUUGUUGUUUUGCUAAGAAUUUCGUAUUAAAGAUGACUGAGUUGGAGUUGGAUAGUGAGAUGAUUCGACUAACUGUAAAAUGACUCCUGCAUGACAGCAUAACGUUUGCCAUACAAGUGCAUAAUAUCUAUAUAAUAUUAUUAUGUUUCCAUGGUAUUGAUAAUUGAUGUAUUGAUUUGAAAACUAGAAAUAAGCGUAUAGGAGUACUAGAGUCAGCAGAUUCAUCUUGCGAAUUCAGUUUAAUGGACGACAUUCGGCUUAAGUGUUUUGGAAGUCCUGCCGCCGAGUGUCGACGAUUGUGCCAAAGUGUGGCAUGUGGCAACACUGUAAUCAUUAAGGUUCCACAGACGGACGAAACGUGGUGCUUGGGAUUCAUAGAAGACAUCGCGGGCGAUGAGCUGUACAUCAGCUUCCAUUGCACAAGAGUGGCUGCCAGAUGGUUUCCAUCCCACUUGGUUUUUCCCCACAUCGUCUAUUCUUAUCCCCUAAGGGAAAAAAAUCUUCUGGUCGCUCUUCGUACCAGCAAAAAGGAUCCCUUCGUGUUAAGAGCAGCUGUAGUGCUGUCAUGGGUCGGUGGCGGCGGAUUGCUCUGUUACGUGGAAACCAUUAUUGGCUGCACCAGACAUUUGGUGCAUCAUUUACAAAUAGUUAAACAGUUGCCGCAAAGAGCUCUGCACGGUGCUACCAGACGCACGGGACUUUAUACAAGAUACUCCGUGAAGUUACCUGCGGCUGCCCCUGUUAGUAUUGCCCCAAUUAACUACAGCAUUGAUGAAAACCGCAUACAUUACGAAAUACAACGUUCGCGCCACGAUUUGCAGCACGGUACUGCCGGCAGAUACAGCAUUCAAUUGAGAGGUUGGAACAGAUUUUACUUCCAUGUGGAUAAGGAUAAUGUAACCAUUAUAUGCUGGGAGUUCGGCGAUUGCUUUUGGACCCAACAACUCCUCUCCCUCAGUGUCCACAGGUGUUUAGAAAGCGACGCGUUGCGGAUGGACUGGCAGUGGCCAAUGCUGUCGAAAAAUGGAAUGACACACCUGCUCGAAUGCUGUUACCAGGCACCGGACUUCCUGUGUAUACCCUUGGAAGUUAUUGCUCUGGUCUUUGAGUAUAUGGAUAUCAUCACCCAGACAAGGCUUGAAAGAGUAAAUCCAUUGUGGACGGAUAUGCUGGCAGCCUCUCGCAAAGCGGCUAUCGUUAUUGAUUUCGGCAUGCGACUGGAGACUGUGUACCGAAGCAACGAAGCGUUCCGCUUGGGCAUAAUGUUAUACCAUGCUUUAAAAACGCAUGUGCAUACACUAGUGAUGACGAAGUGGACGCCUGGCCUGAAUGUGUAUGGACACCACCAAAGCAGCGCGGAAAGCGACAUUGCGGUCCUAUGCGAAUUACUGCGCAUAAAGGGCACAAAGAAACUCCGUCGUAUCGUAAUGCACAAAUGCGUGGUAGACUACGAAUUCGACUUGUUUCGGCAAUGUUUGCUGCGCUGUUUGUCACCAUUGAUGGACAUGUGUGGACACCUUAUCCUAAUCGAUUACGUCAUGGACGACGCUCUGUGGCCCUUUGCAAUAAACAGGCCAUGCCAUAAUAACAAAGCUCUCUUACUAAGACGUCAACCCCCCUUAAAGCUGGAAUUAGUCGUAGCAUAUUUGCGCUUAGACUGCUCGCAACAUUCUGCUGCGACAUAUAAUGAGAUAUUGUCAACUAUUUUACAAGCGCUACCGGAACCAUCCGUUGGUGUACGCACUACUGUGGCUUCGAUGCUAACUUACUGGCAUUCACUCGACUUGGAAGCGAGAGCUGGCUACUGGAAACACCUCCGGGAAGUGCUUCAGUUGUGAGUUUUGGCGGUAGAUAAUGGUAAUGUCCUCGAUAAUGUACGUUUUGCCUCUGCGUGCGACAGCACUCAACCUCUGGACUCGGCUAAGCCAGCCAUAUUGCAGUGGGUAGAUGUUCAGUUUACCUCAGCGUCAAUGCCGUAUUUUACAAAAUUAACGCUUAUUGGGCUGCACUCAAUGUGGUAUGUCAGGGGAUCGGAAUUGCGUCAGGUCAUCUGACAAAGCGAUCAUAGUAGUCUUUUAAACUCUGUCCAUGACGAUGCUGGCGACCGAGAACCGAAUGUGAUUUCCGUUUCCUUAUCAAGACAACUAGAGUAGCCUGACAAAUCACGAUGUGGUUAUCUUGAGCCCACUGAACCGUUGAUGACUGGCUGUUCCAGAAGUUACACGAACCUUGACGUCCACAAAGCCUUAACCUUAAUCACGCUACUUAACGGAAGGAAUAGAAUAAUAAUGGUUUUGGUUUUGGUUUGGGUUUAUUGUUUUAACGUCCCUAGAUACAGGGAAAUGAAGGAGUUACCUUUAUCGGAAUCUACA
Molecule: RNA transcript, 2374 nt
Organism: Paramacrobiotus metropolitanus
Lineage: Eukaryota; Metazoa; Tardigrada; Eutardigrada; Parachela; Macrobiotidae
Exons: 4
Source: RefSeq, a predicted model, not a curated record